GGAGAGGUGACCGAGUGGUUGAUGGUACCGGUCUUGAAAACCGGCGUGCCGAAAGGUACCGCGAGUUCGAAUCUCGCCCUCUCCGCCA
RNAcentral lists this transfer RNA (88 nucleotides) under Candidatus Nomurabacteria bacterium. RNAcentral's name for it is "tRNA-Ser". It matches the Rfam family "tRNA". From Rfam's summary of the family: Transfer RNA (tRNA) molecules are approximately 80 nucleotides in length. Their secondary structure includes four short double-helical elements and three loops (D, anti-codon, and T loops). Further hydrogen bonds mediate the characteristic L-shaped molecular structure. tRNAs have two regions of fundamental functional importance: the anti-codon, which is responsible for specific mRNA codon recognition, and the 3' end, to which the tRNAs corresponding amino acid is attached (by aminoacyl-tRNA synthetases). tRNAs cope with the degeneracy of the genetic code in two manners: having more than one tRNA (with a specific anti-codon) for a particular amino acid; and 'wobble' base-pairing, i.e. permitting non-standard base-pairing at the 3rd anti-codon position. The record is from RNAcentral. Lineage: Bacteria; Candidatus Nomuraibacteriota.